AAUAAGGUCUUCAAAUCUGUUAGUACAGAUUACCACUAAUACAAUGAUUUAGUAAUUAAGAUUCUUACACUCUACUUAAAGGUCACGAGCUCGAAUUUCACUUCAAAUAUAAAACCCAUUAGUUUAUAAGUUUCGUGGCCAAAUUAGACUUGAUUCCAACGAGCCAAGACUAUCCAAUAAAAAUGAACAUUUUUUGAUGACUAAAUUUUCGAUAAUUUUCUUUUUAUAAUAUGAAUUCCUGUUACAGAUAA
Molecule: long non-coding RNA, 251 nt
Filed under: Carica papaya (papaya)
Lineage: Eukaryota; Viridiplantae; Streptophyta; Magnoliopsida; Brassicales; Caricaceae
Description: long non-coding RNA (CPAP_LNC001079)
Source: RNAcentral